AGAAAAUCUUUACCUCUUUUGACUGUCAGAGGUAGCUCCAGCAUGGCGACGGGUGGCGGUUGGCGAUUGGCUCCCUUCCCAGCGACUGGUUCUUCUUCUCCGGUGGGGGGUCUGGUGGCUUGGGUUAGAGUUUGGUGUGGGGUGAGGUAUUUAUAUCUGUCUCCUUUCAAUUUAGGUCAUCCAUCAAUUUGAUCUGGAUCGUCCGAUUUCGUUUAAAUAGGAAGUGAAUCUAAACCAUGUAUCGCGAUUUCAUCUGGACCAUACGAUCGCGUUUAAAGAAGGAACAAAUCCAGACCGUCCACACGCGCAGGAACAAAUUCGGACUGUCCGAUCACGGGCACGUAGAUUGCAAGCGUGACCUCCCGUGUAGCACCGCGUCAGAGUGCCUUACCACGCAGCGCACUCCAGUUCAUCGUGGCUGCUGACUGGGCGUCGUAUGUGGUAAAUUUUUUCUAAAUUCUAUUUUGACCC
RNAcentral lists this long non-coding RNA (471 nucleotides) under Carica papaya (papaya). RNAcentral's name for it is "long non-coding RNA (CPAP_LNC015623)". Lineage: Eukaryota; Viridiplantae; Streptophyta; Magnoliopsida; Brassicales; Caricaceae. The record is from RNAcentral.